AGCGAACGCUGGCGGCAGGCCUAACACAUGCAAGUCGAACGAACUCUUCGGAGUUAGUAGCGGACGGGUGAGUAACACGUGGGAACGUGCCAUUUGGUUCGGAAUAACUCAGGGAAACUUGUGCUAAUACCGAAUGUGCCCUUCGGGGGAAAGAUUUAUCGCCAUUAGAGCGGCCCGCGUCUGAUUAGCUAGUUGGUGAGGUAACGGCUCACCAAGGCGACGAUCAGUAGCUGGUCUGAGAGGAUGACCAGCCACACUGGGACUGAGACACGGCCCAGACUCCUACGGGAGGCAGCAGUGGGGAAUCUUGCGCAAUGGGCGAAAGCCUGACGCAGCCAUGCCGCGUGAAUGAUGAAGGUCUUAGGAUUGUAAAAUUCUUUCACCGGGGACGAUAAUGACGGUACCCGGAGAAGAAGCCCCGGCUAACUUCGUG
Molecule: ribosomal RNA, 433 nt
Filed under: uncultured bacterium
Lineage: Bacteria
Description: partial 16S ribosomal RNA
Rfam family: Bacterial small subunit ribosomal RNA
Source: RNAcentral